AUGCAGGGUCUAGUUACAAUGUAGCUGUGAAGUGCCUCAUUGUCUUUGCCCCCUGCUCAGAAUAAAACUGUUACCUUCCUUGCCCUGUCUGCAGGGUGCUGUAGCAGCUGGGGAUGCAGGGUCUCAUACAU
Small nucleolar RNA from Diceros bicornis minor, 131 nucleotides. RefSeq annotates it as small nucleolar RNA SNORA63. The transcript has a single exon. Lineage: Eukaryota; Metazoa; Chordata; Mammalia; Perissodactyla; Rhinocerotidae. The record is from RefSeq and is a predicted model, not a curated record.